AUUGAACGCUGGCGGCAUGCCUUACACAUGCAAGUCGAACGGCAGCACGGGAGCAAUCCUGGUGGCGAGUGGCGAACGGGUGAGUAAAGUAUCGGAACGUGCCCAGUCGUGGGGGAUAACGUAGCGAAAGUUACGUUAAUACCGCAUACGAUCUAUGGAUGAAAGCGGGGGAUCGCAAGACCUCGCGCGAUUGGAGCGGCCGAUAUCAGAUUAGGUAGUUGGUGGGGUAAAGGCUCACCAAGCCGACGAUCUGUAGCUGGUCUGAGAGGACGACCAGCCACACGGGGACUGAGACACGGCCCAGACUCCUACGGGAGGCAGCAGUGGGGAAUUUUGGACAAUGGGCGAAAGCCUGAUCCAGCCAUGCCGCGUGCAGGAUGAAGGCCUUCGGGUUGUAAACUGCUUUUGUACGGAACGAAAAGGUUUGGCCUAAUAAGCUGAGCUCAUGACGGUACCGUAAGAAUAAGCACCGGCUACCUACGUGCCAGCAGCCGCCGUAA
RNAcentral lists this ribosomal RNA (500 nucleotides) under uncultured bacterium. RNAcentral describes it as "partial 16S ribosomal RNA". It matches the Rfam family "Bacterial small subunit ribosomal RNA", at positions 30 to 523 of the family's 1533-position model. The record is from RNAcentral.